This 301-nucleotide ribosomal RNA is filed under the name uncultured bacterium. Its description in RNAcentral is "partial 16S ribosomal RNA". It matches the Rfam family "Bacterial small subunit ribosomal RNA", at positions 509 to 808 of the family's 1533-position model. The record is from RNAcentral.
CAGCCGCCGCGGGAAAACGAAGGGGGCUAGCGUUGCUCGGAAUGACUGGGCGUAAAGGGCGCGUAGGCGGAUUGUUUAGUUAGGCGUGAAAUUCCUGGGCUUAACCUGGGGACUGCGCUUAAUACAGGCAGCCUAGAGUGAGGAAGAGGGUUGUGGAAUUCCCAGUGUAGAGGUGAAAUUCGUAGAUAUUGGGAAGAACACCGGUGGCGAAGGCGGCAACCUGGUCCUUGACUGACGCUGAGGCGCGAAAGCGUGGGGAGCAAACAGGAUUAGAUACCCCGUAGUCCCUGUCUCUUAUACA